Molecule: long non-coding RNA, 3434 nt
Organism: Tachysurus fulvidraco (yellow catfish)
Lineage: Eukaryota; Metazoa; Chordata; Actinopteri; Siluriformes; Bagridae
Exons: 5
Source: RefSeq, a predicted model, not a curated record
UGUUGUUGUUGUCAUGUGUCUGCCCCGCCUUCGUCUGCUCCUCCCUGUCUCCACACCUUAUCCUAAUUGUAUCUCAUUGUCUUUUGUAUAAAUGUGAGCCGCGUUGCCGAUGGCUGCGUGGAAUCAAUAGUUACGUGAGUUACGUGUGUUACGUGUACCUUAUUCAUUGUUAAAUGUCAUCUGUAUUGCUUUAGUUCUUAUUAUUUACUGUCUUUGUCUUUAUCUUUUAUUAAACCCCAUUCAUUUGAAGCUAUCCUGUAUACGGGUCUGUCUCCUUCCUUCCCUGGUUGUGACACUACUAAUACUACUAAUAAAAAUUUUCAUGUGAUGCUUAUUAAGUAAUCAGUGUAUCAUUACUUUCCUAGUACUCAAUAAGGUGUCUAUUAAUUUUUUACAAAGUUGUUAAUAUGUUUUCAUAAAAAAAUCACAUCAUCUUGUCACUUAUUUUAGCUUUUAGUGUGUGUCAGAGAUAUCAGAGGCACACAGGAUACCAUAAUCCUGAAGACAUCGAACUCAAAAUAAUCCCUGAUGCAACAACAGCGAGUCACUGAUGGAUUAAUAGAUGAAAUUUCAGAGUUGAGCACACAACAACAACAAAAACAGCAACAACAACAACAAGGACGAGAAGGAGUUUUAAUCCUACUAAGGAUUAGGUUUAGUUCCUUGAUGUGACAAAUCUUUCUCCUUCGGUUUUCCUGCACUCAAGGUGACUUGCACCUUUUAUGAGAAGUAAAGAAAAUAAGACAGUAUUUAGAUUCAGACUCUGACAAGAAGAGUUUAUCGCUGAUCAGCUUCGGCGCUUGAGUCCCAUAUCUUUCAUUCUUUGUGCUGUUCAAGCAUAAAACUGUGAAAUACAGCAUGACAGCCGUGCUUUCAAUAACAGGACCGAACAUACUGUAUUUCUUGCUGACUUCUUGUCUUCGUCAAUCUUCCUGGAUAAUAAAUAUUACGGCUUGGUGAUAUCUCGCAAAUUAAUAUCACCUUCGCAAUAGAUAAUGUUGCCGGACAGAGCUGAUACAAAUCAGGCCGAGAUUACACCACUAUUUACUUACUUAUUUAUUUUAGUAUAUUAUUUCACAUAGUAUACUAUAAAAUUACUGCUUUGUAAAAUUACCUCAUGUCCUAUGAGUCAAAGGAAUGAUCUACUGUCAUCCAACCAGGUCAAAUAAACAACAACAGAGUGUUGUGUCAUGAAUUCAGUUCAGUUACCACCACAAACCUGAUUAGUUUCCAAUAACAGUGCAUCCUGAGGUGUUUCAUUCAAUUUGAUCACACUAACAAUUUAGAAUUUGUUAACGAAGUACACAAAGAAGUCACGCUUUUUAUUCCAUAACAUUUAUUGUUAAGAAACCACACAUUCUUCUGUCCUGAAAACUUGCUAUGCUAUAAUUUACUGUGCUGAUGCAAAAAUUAGAAAGUAUUAAUUUUUUCCUUGCUUUACUCUGUUGGCAUGAGGUGAAACUGAGUAUCAGCUGAGGCUUUGGGAAUCUGGGACACAGAUGACGUGGGACUCAACUGAGGCUCUGGGAAUCUGGGGGUUUGGUGAAGCUCUGCGUAUCCAGCUGAGGCUCUGAGAAAAAAAAGUGGAGCUCUGGGAAUUUAAGAGUCCACAUGCUUGAGUUAUUCAUCCUAACAGAGGCUGCCUUCAUUCCCUUCUGACACCGCGGCCUGAAGCGACAAGACUCAUCUCUCUUUAAAAAAUAACAGCAAAUGGGAUUUUUUACCCCCCUCAUGACCAAAGUCUACGUUUAGCACCGAGCUUCCUGGAGGCACGUCUCCUUGGCCUGAUAAUUAAAGGAUUUAGUGGCCCUUUGAGAACGAGGGGGUUACGCUUCUCCUUCAGUCAGGUCUGUUAUUAAGCUCUCGAGGGCCCUGACUGAAAGCCGAAAGUCACCGGGGUCGACCCGGCUGCUUUUCACCAAAACUUGUAUUCUGAAGAGGAAGCAUGAGGAAGUCCUUCGUCUUCAACGCCGCGAUUAUCGGCAUCUGCUCCAAACAAAUUGCACGAGACAGAGACUGUUACACUGGAUUUGCAACAUAUUCCAAUCACGUCAACACAGAGAAGUUCUUGGUCAGUUGUGAAUCUGUGGUUAUACCCAAGAUUUUUGCUGAUAUGGCAGCAAACAGGUCCAUUUAAAAAUUGAGCUGAAGCUGAAAAGAGCAGUGGUCAAAAAUCUAAAGGAGCUCACAUUCUGUCUACAACGCCGUCAUAUUAAUGCCUUUCCACCAUCUGAAAUUGGAGAUUUGAGAGGCAAAUGGCCUUCGUUUUUAGCUCAAAAGUUCAUAAAGGCUCACUUUGAGUUACUUACAGACAUCAAAGUGCUUUGUAGCCUAGACCUCAGUAUGGGGGAAUGUGAAAGAGCCAUCACACAAUACUUCACAAGAAAACCUACCAAUAAAGAUGUCAAGAUGUCCUAUCUAAAAGUGAAGCUAAUGAGAUGGCACUUCAUGUUGUUCAGCUGCUUAUAGCACACUUUGGAGAGAACCUAUCAGGGCUAGUCCUUUUUGCAGCUGUGUGUGCCACUGCAGUUGAUUUUGAGACAGCUCUAACUAUACCUGCAAGUCCAUGUCUGAUACUACUUGGUAUAGAUUUCAUUACUAGACAUAUAUUAAAAUCCAUCUAGUUUUGCUUGCACUGGAUGGGACUUUAUAUAGGUCAGUGAGCUCUCUCUAUUCUCUGUAUAACUAAUAAUAUAACUUCAUAGUAUAAUAGUAUAGUGUACUAUUAGUAUACAAUAGUAAUACUAUAACUCCGUAUAAAUAAUAAUUGUUUUGACAGACUGAUGUUGCCACAUUAAACCACAUGAAACUUACCAAUAGUUCAGACACUUUAUCGUUAUUUUUACUGCAGUGUUAAAACAAUCAACACAUUAUUUAACAUGCCGAAUGAAUAAAAGUUCAUUAAAAAGAUAACUGUGGCAAAAAGAACAAAAUUUCUAAUUUGUGAAUGUGAAUCCAAAAAUACUAGAAGUUAUCAUGGCCUUGAAUGUACCUUUUCUUAGAAAUGAUCAAAUAUUGCAUGUUAUUUAUUAUCAUUAUUUCUGCUGAUCAGAGUUAAUCAUAUACAGUAGUUCAUUAUUAUUGAUUAUACUUUAUUUCCCUUUGGGUCAAACUUAAAAUUUCCUAAAGGUUUUUAAGCAAACUUUGCUAAUGUUAAGAAUAGGUUACGUUGAGUCAGUGCGUUGUGAAUAUCACCUUACUAUCUGAGUUGUUAUUGUUCCUUGAUAAUUUGAGAGAAAGUUUCUAAAUUACUGAUAUAAUUAAUUACAAUACCCACAGUUAUGUGAAUAAAUUUGUAGGAAAUCAUUUAGUGGGUAGCACGUUCGCCUCACACCUCCAGGGUCGGGGUUCGAUUCCCGCCUCCGCCUUGUGUGUGUGGAGUUUGCAUGUUCUCCCCGUGCCUCGGGGGUUUCCUCCGGGUACUCCGGUUUCCU